GGCCCAGACUCCUACGGGAGGCAGCAGUGGGGAAUAUUGCACAAUGGGGGAAACCCUGAUGCAGCGACGCCGCGUGAGUGAAGAAGUAUUUCGGUAUGUAAAGCUCUAUCAGCAGGGAAGAAAAUGACGGUACCUGAUUAAGAAGCCCCGGCUAACUACGUGCCAGCAGCCGCGGUAAUACGUAGGGGGCAAGCGUUAUCCGGAUUUACUGGGUGUAAAGGGAGCGUAGACGGCGAUGCAAGCCAGAUGUGAAAGCCCGGGGCUCAACCCCGGGACUGCAUUUGGAACUGUGUGGCUGGAGUGUCGGAGAGGCAAGUGGAAUUCCUAGUGUAGCGGUGAAAUGCGUAGAUAUUAGGAGGAACACCAGUGACGAAGGCGGCUUGCUGGACGAUGACUGACGUUGAGGCUCGAAAGCGUGGGGAGCAAACAGGAUUAGAUACCCCCGUAGU
Molecule: ribosomal RNA, 449 nt
Filed under: uncultured bacterium
Lineage: Bacteria
Description: bacterial SSU rRNA
Rfam family: Bacterial small subunit ribosomal RNA
Source: RNAcentral